AGAAGUGAACCACACCCCCAUCACAUGCCCUGAGAUGGGGACAAGGGAACUUUUUCUGUUUCAGUAGUUGAAGAGCACACAGAAGGGAUCUACUUAGCAAGAUCAAGGAAGAUUUCCACAAGGAAGUGCGGACCGAGCUAAGAUAUGAUGAAGGAACAGGAAUUAAAUACAUAACAGAGUGUGAGGGCAGGAGGCAAGCAUAAGGGUCAGGCUUCCAAAAAGGUCAGUCUGAUUACAGCAGACGGAGCAAGAAUCAGGGUUAAAGCAGAAGAGACUUCAAGGAAGGAAGGAGGCAGAUCAUGCAGAUCUUUUACAAAAAUCCGUGGUCACAAAUUUUCACCCAGCUCUGUGAGUUAGACAAUAUUCUCACUUUGUAGAAUAGCAAGAUGAAGCUCAAAACUGAGAAACUGGACUAUGGUCACAGAGCCGGAUCUCCUCGCAGUCUCCCUACCUUUCAGGUUGCCUGUGAAGUACUGUUAAAGAAAGCAGGAAACUGUGACUAAAUGAAGAUCACAGAGCCAGUUGAUCAGUGGGGAAGCUGCAUCUGAAAUCCAGGACUUCUAGAUCCUGGGUCAACUGGUGCCAAUGAGGAACAUCUGUAGCACAGUGUGUAGACAUCUUGUCACCCGAAGAGCAACCAGAGGACGUAGAAAAUGGACCUGAUCUCAGAUGAGACAAAAUAGAGCAUGUCACUAAGGGAGGACACUGUUUCAAGAUUCCUGCGCCAGCUCCUUCGUUGUUAUAGAAGUUGGACUAAAUAAAAGGGAUUUUCAAAGAUGUUUGGAAAUGUGAUCCAUUAGCUAUAGCAGCCAUGAAGAUGUAGGACAAUUGAUUUGGGUAGAAGGUGAAGAAAAAUGUUGAUAGAUUCAGGAUCCAUUCUGUUAGAGGAGACUCACCCACACCAAAGAGUCCUGGCCACACUGAGGUAGAGAAGAAGGCUAUGAGGCCCUCUGGACCAGAUGCACACUGCUCUGGAGUUGGAUGGAACAGCUCAGUUUCAGCGUGGGAACAGGAGGAAAAAGAGGAAUGCAAGAAGGGCUUGUGAGGGUACAUCUGCAACUAGAACUGAAGAUUGGACAGUUCCCACAUAGGCAAAUUCUGUUAAGGUAAUCACAAGCGUACAGAUAACAGGCAGGCAGGAAUGUGAAAAUCAGAGAGAAGAGAGAUGUGCACCAGAAGCUGGAGUAAUGUGCUUUGAAGAUGGAGGAAGGGACCAUAAAUCAAGGAAUGCAGACAGCCUGUAGAAGCUGGGAAAGGCAAGGAUGUGGAUUCACUCGAGUCUCUAGAAGAAACGCAACCCCGCCAACACCUUGAUUUGAGGACGUCUGACCUUCAGAAUGAGAAAAUGAUACAUUUGUGUUGUAAGCCACCCAGUUUGUGAAAUAUGUAUCAACAAUUGAAAACUAGUACAUAGUCAAAUACUCAAUCUCUGUUUUUUUUAGCUUAUCAUUUUCAAUCUCUGUCUCCAACCCACAAACCACAUGCAUCAUAAAUAAAUUAAAAUACCAAAACUUUUGGCAGGCAUGCCAUGAACUGGAAAAUGUUUUUGAGAUCAAGGAAAAGCAGCAAAAAGGAAGGCGUUACUACUUAA
This 1591-nucleotide long non-coding RNA is filed under the name Homo sapiens (human). RNAcentral's name for it is "long non-coding RNA NONHSAT219208.1". Lineage: Eukaryota; Metazoa; Chordata; Mammalia; Primates; Hominidae. The record is from RNAcentral.